Molecule: unclassified non-coding RNA, 312 nt
Filed under: uncultured soil eukaryote
Lineage: Eukaryota
Description: sequence contains 5.8S rRNA gene, ITS2, 28S rRNA gene
Source: RNAcentral
AACGCACAUGGCACCUUUGGGCUUCCCCAGAGGUAUACUUGUUUGAGUGUCAUUAAACAUCUCACAAUUACCCACAAGUUUGUGUGUAUAAUGUGUGGAUUUUGAAGGUCAACAGUGCAAGCAGUUAGCUUGCUUGUCGUCCUUUUAAAUAGAUUGAGACAUGAUUAAGGUGAAGGGAUAAUGAUGCUAUUGCUGUGGGUUCAGCUAAACACCGAGCCUCUCUUAGUUAAGAGAGGUAUCAUUGUCGAUCUCUAGCACAAUGCAUCUUUUGAUUUUGACCUCAAAUCAAGUAAGAGUACCCGCUGAACUUAA